UACGGAGGGUGCGAGCGUUAAUCGGAAUUACUGGGCGUAAAGCGCACGUAGGCGGUUUGGUAAGUUGGAUGUGAAAGCCCUGGGCUUAACCUGGGAAUUGCAUCCAAGACUGCCAGGCUAGAGUACGGUAGAGGGGGGUAGAAUUCCACGUGUAGCGGUGAAAUGCGUAGAGAUGUGGAGGAAUAUCAGUGGCGAAGGCGGCCCCCUGGACUGAUACUGACGCUGAGGUGAGAAAGCGUGGGGAGCAAACAGG
This 253-nucleotide ribosomal RNA is filed under the name uncultured bacterium. RNAcentral's name for it is "partial 16S ribosomal RNA". It matches the Rfam family "Bacterial small subunit ribosomal RNA", at positions 524 to 776 of the family's 1533-position model. The record is from RNAcentral.